This 77-nucleotide transfer RNA is filed under the name Peptoniphilus duerdenii. RNAcentral's name for it is "tRNA-Arg". It matches the Rfam family "tRNA". From Rfam's summary of the family: Transfer RNA (tRNA) molecules are approximately 80 nucleotides in length. Their secondary structure includes four short double-helical elements and three loops (D, anti-codon, and T loops). RNAcentral also lists the same sequence under 1 other name. Lineage: Bacteria; Bacillati; Bacillota; Tissierellia; Tissierellales; Peptoniphilaceae. The record is from RNAcentral.
GGACACGUAGCUCAGCAGGAUAGAGCGAGGCUCUCCUAAAGCCUAGGCCGGAGGUUCGACUCCUCUCGUGUUCACCA